RNAcentral lists this ribosomal RNA (441 nucleotides) under uncultured Actinomycetes bacterium. RNAcentral's name for it is "uncultured actinobacterium partial 16S ribosomal RNA". Lineage: Bacteria; Bacillati; Actinomycetota; Actinomycetes. The record is from RNAcentral.
GACUACUGGGGUAUCUAAUCCUGUUUGCUACCCACGCUUUCGCUCCUCAGUGUCAGUACCGGCCCAGAGUGCUGCCUUCGCUGUCGGUGUUCUUCCUGAUAUCUGCGCAUUUCACCGCUACACCAGGAGUUCCGCACUCCCCUACCGGACUCUAGUCAGAGCAGUAUCAAAUGCAGGCUCAGGGUUGGGCCCUGAGAUUUCACAUCUGACUUACUCAACCACCUACGAGCCCUUUACGCCCAGUAAUUCCGGACAACGCUUGCUCCCUACGUAUCACCGCGGCUGCUGGCACGUAGUUGGCCGGAGCUUCUUCUGCAGGUACCGUCAUUUUCGUCCCUACUGAAAGCGGUUUACGACCCUAGGGCCUUCGUCCCGCACGCGGCAUUGCUGCGUCAGGCUUUCGCCCAUUGCGCAAGAUUCCCCACUGCUGCCCCCCGUAGG